Molecule: ribosomal RNA, 407 nt
Filed under: uncultured bacterium
Lineage: Bacteria
Description: partial 16S ribosomal RNA
Rfam family: Bacterial small subunit ribosomal RNA
Source: RNAcentral
AUUGAACGCUGGCGGCAGGCCUAACACAUGCAAGUCGAGCGGAGUGGCGGACGGGUGAGUAAUGCCUCGGAAUCUGCCUGGUAGUGGGGGAUAACGUCCCGAAACGGGCGCUAAUACCGCAUACUAUCAGAUGAGCCUAGGUCGGAUUAGCUAGUUGGUGGGGUAACGGCCUACCAAGGCGACGAUCCGUACCUGGUCUGAGAGGAUGACCAGUCACACGGGAACUGAGACACGGUCCAGACUCCUACGGGAGGCAGCAGUGGGGAAUAUUGGACAAUGGGCGAAAGCCUGAUCCAGCCAUGCCGCGUGUGUGAAGAAGGCCUUCGGGUUGUAAAGUACUUUCGGCAGGGAGGCGGUACCCGCAGAAGAAGCACCGGCUAACUCCGUGCCAGCAGCCGCGGUAAUAC